UUUUCAUCUCUCAUUUUUGUUCCAUUGAAAAGAAUUUAUAAAUUGUAAAAACUAUUGAAUUAUGUGCUUCCACGAAGGGAACAAUCACUGUGUGAAAGUCGAGUCAAUGCUAUAACAACGAGACGAUCCGCAAAUAAAGAGGAUCUGCAGGAAAUCUGCAAACACGAGCGAAGCAAACGGGCCGGUCCAUUAAUAUUCCCUCGUACGAUCCGAAUAAGGAACGCGCAGUGAACUGAGAGGCUGCCCGACCGAAGCUAUAAAAAUUAAUUAGCUCUUAGAAGAAGAGACUGGCUUCUAUACCCAUGACUCGUUCACCAAAACUGUGAGACCAUCCUCCGUAGGAAACGACCUUACUUCGUUAUUUGAAGGAUCCAAGCUGGCACGGCUCCUGUCAUAGAUCCUCGAUGAAUGAUCGAUACGAUAUCCCUUGAACGUGGCUCGAUCCAGACCCUUUCC
Molecule: long non-coding RNA, 456 nt
Filed under: Apis cerana (Asiatic honeybee)
Lineage: Eukaryota; Metazoa; Arthropoda; Insecta; Hymenoptera; Apidae
Description: 6408.1
Source: RNAcentral